UACAGAGGGGGCUAGCGUUGUUCGGAAUGACUGGGCGUAAAGGGCGCGUAGGUGGCUCUACAAGUCAGAUGUGAAAGGCCUAGGCUUAACCUGGGGAUGGCAUUUGAGACUGCAGGGCUUGAGUCCGGGAGAGGAUAGCGGAAUUCCUAGUGUAGAGGUGAAAUUCGUAGAUAUUAGGAAGAACACCGGUGGCGAAGGCGGCUAUCUGGAACGGAACUGACACUGAGGCGCGAAAGCGUGGGGAGCAAACAGG
RNAcentral lists this ribosomal RNA (253 nucleotides) under uncultured bacterium. RNAcentral describes it as "partial 16S ribosomal RNA". It matches the Rfam family "Bacterial small subunit ribosomal RNA", at positions 524 to 776 of the family's 1533-position model. The record is from RNAcentral.